RNAcentral lists this ribosomal RNA (253 nucleotides) under uncultured bacterium. RNAcentral's name for it is "partial 16S ribosomal RNA". It matches the Rfam family "Bacterial small subunit ribosomal RNA", at positions 524 to 776 of the family's 1533-position model. The record is from RNAcentral.
GACGAACCGUGCGAACGUUGUUCGGAUUCACUGGGCUUAAAGGGCGCGUAGGCGGCUUGCCAAGUCAGGGGUGAAAUCCUCCGGCUUAACCGGAGAAGUGCUUUUGAUACUGGCGAGCUUGAGGGAGGUAGGGGCAGGCGGAACUUCCGGUGGAGCGGUGAAAUGCGUAGAUAUCGGAAGGAACGCCGGUGGCGAAAGCGGCCUGCUGGACCUCUUCUGACGCUGAGGCGCGAAAGCCAGGGGAGCGAACGGA